This 17-nucleotide small RNA is filed under the name Arabidopsis thaliana (thale cress). RNAcentral describes it as "ATSL216990". Lineage: Eukaryota; Viridiplantae; Streptophyta; Magnoliopsida; Brassicales; Brassicaceae. The record is from RNAcentral.
AGAAGAAAGAAAACCCA